RNAcentral lists this ribosomal RNA (905 nucleotides) under uncultured bacterium. Its description in RNAcentral is "bacterial SSU rRNA". It matches the Rfam family "Bacterial small subunit ribosomal RNA", at positions 8 to 930 of the family's 1533-position model. The record is from RNAcentral.
AGAGUUUGAUCAUGGCUCAGGAUGAACGCUGGCGGCGUGCUUAACACAUGCAAGUCGAACGUGAGAGGGUAGCAAUAUCCUUGAAAGUGGCGCACGGGUGAGUAACACGUAGGUAACCUGCCCUGAAGCGGGGGAUAACAGUUGGAAACGGCUGCUAAUACCGCAUGAGACUGAUAAGCCGGGAGGCUUGUUGGUGAAAAUCUUGGUGCUUCAGGAGGGGCCUGCGGCCGAUUAGCUAGUUGGUGGGGUAAGAGCCUACCAAGGCGACGAUCGGUAGCUGGUCUGAGAGGACGAUCAGCCACACGGGAACUGAGACACGGUCCCGACUCCUACGGGGGGCAGCAGUGAGGAAUAUUGGGCAAUGGGCGGAAGCCUGACCCAGCAACGCCGCGUGGAGGAAGACGGCCUUCGGGUUGUAAACUCCUUUUACGGGGGAAGAGGAAGGACGGUACCCCGAGAAUAAGUCACGGCUAACUACGUGCCAGCAGCCGCGGUAAUACGUAGGUGACAAGCGUUAUCCGGAAUUACUGGGCGUAAAGCGCACGCAGGCGGCGCAUUAAGUCUGACGUGAAAUCUCUCGGCUUAACCGGGAGGGGUCGUUGGAGACUGAUGUGCUUGAGGCGAUGAGAGGGGCGUAGAAUUCCCGGUGUAGUGGUGGAAUGCGUAGAUAUCGGGAGGAAUACCAGUGGCGAAAGCGGCACCCUGGCAUUGGCCUGACGCUCAUGUGCGAAGGCGUGGGGAGCGAACGGGAUUAGAUACCCCGGUAGUCCACGCGGUAAACGAUGAGUACUAGGUGUGGGUGGAGUGAAAUCCAUCUGUGCCGAAGCAAACGCGCUAAGUACUCCGCCUGGGGAGUACGGCCGCAAGGCUAAAACUCAAAGGAAUUGACGGGGGCCCGCACAAGC